UACGAACCGUGCGAGCGUUAAUCGGAUUCAUUGGGCUUAAAGGGCGCGUAGGCGGCGGCGUAAGUUCGUGGUGAAAUCCCAUCGGCUCAACCGUGGAAUUGCUUCGAAUACUGCGUCGCUCGAGGGAGAUAGGGGACCGCAGAACUGCCGGUGGAGCGGUGAAAUGUGUUGAUAUCGGCGGGAAUGCCAGUGCCGAAAGGGGCGGUCUGGACCUCUUCUGACGCUAAGGCGCGAAAGCUAGGGGAGCGAACGGG
This 254-nucleotide ribosomal RNA is filed under the name uncultured bacterium. RNAcentral's name for it is "partial 16S ribosomal RNA". It matches the Rfam family "Bacterial small subunit ribosomal RNA", at positions 524 to 776 of the family's 1533-position model. The record is from RNAcentral.